Non-coding RNA from Podarcis lilfordi (Lilford's wall lizard), 69 nucleotides. Lineage: Eukaryota; Metazoa; Chordata; Lepidosauria; Squamata; Lacertidae. The record is from the annotation of a GenBank genome assembly.
GCCGUAGCUCAGUGGCAGAGGAUCUGCCUGGCAUGCAAAAGGUGGCAGGUUCAAUCCCCGGUAUCUCCA